Molecule: ribosomal RNA, 294 nt
Filed under: uncultured eukaryote
Lineage: Eukaryota
Description: partial 18S ribosomal RNA
Rfam family: Eukaryotic small subunit ribosomal RNA
Source: RNAcentral
CCCUUUGAUACUCUGGGCGGCACGCGCGCUACACUGGUUUAUAUAACGUGUAAUUUGGACGAUAGUCUGUAUAAAUCACUAAUAUAAAACCGUGAAUGGGAUAGUUUAUUGCAACUUACAAACUUUAACUAGGAAUCCCUUGUAGAAGUAGUGAAUUAUACUGCUUCGAAUACGUCCCCGCCGAUUGUACACACCGCCCGUCGUUUCUUCCGACUGGUACUCAUUGUGAAUUGCGAGGAGAUUCUGUCAAAUCGUUGUAAAUGCUGGGUAUUGGAGGAAGAAAAAGUCGUAACA